CUCGAGCCUCUUGUAUAUGAUAUAGAUGACAUCCUCGGGGAUGACGUUCUCGAUCUCGCGGAUGUGAAAGGCACUGAGGGUAGGACCUUUUUACCUUCCUCUUUACUGAUCUGUCCUUGAACUCAUAAUUGUGCUCGUUCUAAUGACUUGUUCUUUUUUGCAGAGAUGACUUUUGAUCCUUCAGCGCUCAGGCAGGCCGUGACCAAGAAGUCAAAGGCCCCUCAGACCCGAGCUCCAGGGCAGAAGAGAGGAAAGAAGAGAGUUCGGGAUGCUGAGAAUAUCAGGAGUGGCCCUGGCGAGACUUCUGCUCGAGGACAUACCCCGACCACACAGGCCACGGAGACUCCUACCGGUCCACCUCGGUCACAUCCUCGGCCAAGGAGUACUCCCGAGAUUGUUGACCUCGAGGAUGAGAUACGACCGAUGCCCUCUUUCCAAAGCCAGGAGCCUGACUGGUGUCCUCUGGUGUCAAGCAUCGUGGACAAGUACAGGAAGGACCUCGGUUUUGAUGAGGGCAUGAAGGCUUUGGAAUCUCUUACUCUUAAGGUAAGCUCGCCCAUUCUACUUUGUUUAAAAUACAGGGUUUGAAAAGGUUUAAACGCUGUGAUUAUUCUAAGCUCGGGGUUAUAUGUUGUAGGCUUUGAGCAUUGCCCGAGGCCUUUCUCUGAAGGGAAAAGAUGAGGCCCAAAAGACUACUGAACUCGAGAACUCUUCUCGAGCACUGGAGAAGAGGAUAGCCGAUUUGGAGGCUGAACGGUUCCUUCUCCGGAAGGAGCUCGAGGAUUCGAAAAAUGAUGCCCAUAGAGCUCGAGAAGAGGCUGGAACUGCUAAGGGCGAGGCUGAAUGUGUAAAGCUCGAGAUCGAGCGUUUGAAGGCUGAUUUUGAGGCUCGCCUGGCUGAAGCUCGAGGGGUCGCGAUUGAGGACUUUAAAAUGUCCGAGGAGUUUAACGGCCUCAAGGGGGAGUAUGCUAUGGGCUCGUACUUCCAUGCCUUCAAGGAAGCUCGGGCAUUUUUGAGAUCGAAGCCCGAUGCUAAUCCCGAGGAUCUAAAGAACAUCCCCGAGAUUGCUGAUACUCUCGAGCUGUCAGACUCCGAGGAAACCGCCGAGGACCAAGAGGUCGAUGUUGACGGCGAGGACGCGGUGGAGGAGCAGGGGAGCACAGCCUCGGGAGAAAGGGCCGAGGACUUAGAUUAGCCUUUGUUCCCUUCUGUUUUGUAAUUUGAACAUGUAUUUUACUCGAUAAAGUAUUUUUUCUUUUGCUGUGUUAAUGUAUCUCGAUCAUUCAAAUAUCUCGAUCAUUCAAAUCUCGACGCCUAGAGUAGUGAAACACCUCGAGGACAUAAUUCGUGAAAACAUUUUCUGAAUAUUAUAACGAACACAAAUUCAUCCCGAGGACUCAAACCGUAAAAUAUUUGGGAACAUCAUUGUUGACCCCGAGCAUUAAUCAAGUUACCUCGACGAGUAAAGAAGAUCCGAGGACAGUAUAGUUUUCUACACAAUUACAACUCGACGAUUAAGUUCAAGGGAUGGUCGUCCCCGAGGAGUAAGGAUAAUUCGUGACUGACCUAUGCACAUGAGUUUAUCCCGAGCUUUUAUUUUCAGGCUUGGACAAAAGUACAAUGUUAUAUGGUCGGGAUAUAUGUCCUCGGUAUUUAUACUUGUGCUGCACUAUUGUGCUGAUUAUGAGCUCCAAGUUCUUGGUGUUUGCUCGAGGGCAAGGCUUAAAAGGGCUUGCUCGAGGCCAAGGCUUAAAGGGGCUUGCUCGAGGGCAAGGCUUAAAGGGGCUUGCUCGAGGGCAAGGCUUGAAUUGGCUUGCUCGAGGGCAAGGCUUAAAGGGGCUUGCUCGAGGGCAAGGCUUGAAUUGGCUUGCUCGAGGGCAAGGCUUAAAUUGGCUCGUCAAAG
This 1903-nucleotide long non-coding RNA is filed under the name Olea europaea subsp. europaea. Lineage: Eukaryota; Viridiplantae; Streptophyta; Magnoliopsida; Lamiales; Oleaceae. The record is from RNAcentral.